This 394-nucleotide unclassified non-coding RNA is filed under the name soil metagenome. RNAcentral describes it as "partial contains 5.8S ribosomal RNA, internal transcribed spacer 2, and large subunit ribosomal RNA". The stretch from base 1 to 120 matches the Rfam family "5.8S ribosomal RNA", at positions 35 to 154 of the family's 154-position model. The record is from RNAcentral.
GAUGAAGAACGUAGCGAAAUGCGAUAAGUAAUGUGAAUUGCAGAAUUCAGUGAAUCAUCAAAUCUUUGAACGCAUCUUGCGCUCCUUGGUAUUCCGAGGAGCAUGCCUGUUUGAGUGUCAUCCAACUUGUCAACCACUUUGGAAGUUGUUUUUCAAUGUGGCUUGGAUGUGGGGGAUUUGCAGGCUUUUCUUCUGUCUGCUCUCCUGAAAUGCAUUAGUGGUGUCUUAAAGGGUUCACAACCACAGGUGUGAUAAAUUAUCUAUGCCUUUGGUAUGAACAGAGCUGUGCUGCUUCUAAAUGAAAUGAGACCUUGCAGGCUCUUUCUUUUGAUGAAUUUGACCUCAAAUCAGGUAGGACUACCCGCUGAACUUAAGCAUAUCAAUAAGCGGAGGA